RNAcentral lists this ribosomal RNA (467 nucleotides) under uncultured bacterium. Its description in RNAcentral is "partial 16S ribosomal RNA". It matches the Rfam family "Bacterial small subunit ribosomal RNA", at positions 28 to 507 of the family's 1533-position model. The record is from RNAcentral.
GACGAAUGCUGGCGGCGUGCUUAACACAUGCAAGUCGAACGGAAAGGCCUCUUUCGGGGGGUACUCGAGUGGCGAACGGGUGAGUAACACGUGAGUAACCUGCCCUUGACUUUGGGAUAACUUCAGGAAACUGGGGCUAAUACCGGAUAGGAGCUCCUGCUGCAUGGUGGGGGUUGGAAAGUUUCGGCGGUUGGGGAUGGACUCGCGGCUUAUCAGCUUGUUGGUGGGGUAGUGGCUUACCAAGGCUUUGACGGGUAGCCGGCCUGAGGGGGUGACCGGCAAAAUGGGGAGGGAGAGAGGGCCAGGACCCCGGGGGGGGGAGGGAGGGGGUAUUUUUGCCAAAGGGGGGGAGGCUGGAUGCGGAAAGGCUUGGGGGGGGAGGAGGGCUUUGGGGUGUAAAACCGUUUUCGCCCUGGAAGAUGCUUUGUGGGAGGGGGGGGGAUAAAAAAGCCCCGGCAAACUAGGUG